UUUAGGGAGCCUAAAUUUAAUAGGUUAACUCUUGAAAAGUGUUAAAGUGGGUUUUUACCCCUAAAU
RNAcentral lists this transfer RNA (66 nucleotides) under Ricania marginalis. RNAcentral's name for it is "tRNA-Phe". Lineage: Eukaryota; Metazoa; Arthropoda; Insecta; Hemiptera; Ricaniidae. The record is from RNAcentral.